Molecule: ribosomal RNA, 490 nt
Filed under: uncultured bacterium
Lineage: Bacteria
Description: partial 16S ribosomal RNA
Rfam family: Bacterial small subunit ribosomal RNA
Source: RNAcentral
AUUGAACGCUGGCGGCAGGCCUAACACAUGCAAGUCGAAUGGUAACAGGAAACAGCUUGCUGUUUCGCUGACGAGUGGCGGACGGGUGAGUAAUGUCUGGGAAACUGCCUGAUGGAGGGGGAUAACUACUGGAAACGGUAGCUAAUACCGCAUAACGUCGCAAGACUAAAGAGGGGGACCUUCGGGCCUCUUGCCAUCAGAUGUGCCCAGAUGGGAUUAGCUAGUAGGUGGGGUAACGGCUCACCUAGGCGACGAUCCCUAGCUGGUCUGAGAGGAUGACCAGCCACACUGGAACUGAGACACGGUCCAGACUCCUACGGGAGGCAGCAGUGGGGAAUAUUGCACAAUGGGCGCAAGCCUGAUGCAGCCAUGCCGCGUGUAUGAAGAAGGCCUUCGGGUUGUAAAGUACUUUCAGCGGGGAGGAAGGGAGUAAAGUUAAUACCUUUGCUCAUUGACGUUACCCGCAGAAGAAGCACCGGCUAACUCCGUG